GACGAACGCUGGCGGCGUGCUUAACACAUGCAAGUCGAACGGAAAGGCCUUUUCGGAGGUACUCGAGUGGCGAACGGGUGAGUAACACGUGGGUGAUCUGCCCUGCACUCUGGGAUAAGCCUGGGAAACUGGGUCUAAUACCGGAUAGGACCGCACUUUAGUGUGUGGUGGAAAGUUUUUUCGGUGUAGGAUGAGCCCGCGGCCUAUCAGCUUGUUGGUGGGGUAAUGGCCUACCAAGGCGGCGACGGGUAGCCGGACUGAGAGGUUGGUCGGCCACAUUGGGACUGAGAUACGGCCCAGACUCCUACGGGAGGCAGCAGUGGGGAAUAUUGCACAAUGGGCGCAAGCCUGAUGCAGCGACGCCGCGUGGGGGAUGACGGCCUUCGGGUUGUAAACUCCUUUCGCCAGGGACGAAGCGUUUUGUGACGGUACCUGGAGAAGAAGCACCGGCUAACUACGUG
This 461-nucleotide ribosomal RNA is filed under the name uncultured bacterium. RNAcentral describes it as "partial 16S ribosomal RNA". It matches the Rfam family "Bacterial small subunit ribosomal RNA", at positions 28 to 507 of the family's 1533-position model. The record is from RNAcentral.